UGCUCCCAAACAGCAGAUUAAGCCCGAAGCCUUUGCUAGGGAUCUUCUGCACCUUCUCCAAGGCAUCUCAUGAUAUUUUAUUGUCAGGACCAUUAGUGGUUCGUCGUAGUCUGGCUCAGUUUCCCAUCAGGAAAUGGACCAGACCAGAAGCAAAAUGGAUCUUACCUUGGUGUAUAGAGACAAGCAGGACCCUAUGAAAUGAUGGAAGAUGCCAGUGUUGUGCACAGUGCCCCCCAGGGAGGACAGUGGAUGUGGUUCCUCUCCUUGUAGAGCAGUGUUUCUGCACGCCAAUGAGAGCCCUCUUCCCACAAGACAUCAGCGUUGCUGGGGCUUUGAACUCCACUUCAAAGCCAGGGCUGGAGUGAGGUUUCUUGAGGAGAUCUGGAGGUUUUCCCCUUUGCAUGGUCCAUGAACUCAUGGAGAUGCCUCAUCCUUUCCACCACUGAAACAGCCAAAGAGGAAGAUCCUUUUCUUGUCUGGGGAGAAAA
Long non-coding RNA from Pezoporus occidentalis (night parrot), 488 nucleotides. RefSeq lists it as uncharacterized. Lineage: Eukaryota; Metazoa; Chordata; Aves; Psittaciformes; Psittacidae. The record is from RefSeq and is a predicted model, not a curated record. The transcript is spliced from 3 exons.